Molecule: ribosomal RNA, 253 nt
Filed under: uncultured bacterium
Lineage: Bacteria
Description: partial 16S ribosomal RNA
Rfam family: Bacterial small subunit ribosomal RNA
Source: RNAcentral
UACGGAGGGGGCUAGCGUUGUUCGGAAUUACUGGGCGUAAAGCGCACGUAGGCGGCUUUGUAAGUUAGAGGUGAAAGCCCGGGGCUCAACUCCGGAAUUGCCUUUAAGACUGCAUCGCUAGAAUUGUGGAGAGGUAAGUGGAAUUCCGAGUGUAGAGGUGAAAUGCGUAGAUAUACGGAGGAACACCAGCGGCGAAGGCGGGUAGCUGGGCCAACACUGACGCUGAUGUGCGAAAGCUAGGGUAGCAAACGGG